AUGUCAGCAGUCCUCCCUGUUGUGAUAGAUUGCAUAGGAUGCUGCUUCCGGAUCCAAAGGAACAAUCGACAGACGUCACAAAGAUCCACCUCUGGCUGCAUCAGAAAAUUAUGCUCCUGGCGCCACCAGCGAGUGCACCCCGCUAAUGGGUCGGGGACAGAAGAAACCCCGGGCUCCCAUGAAAGGCUGCCCAGCACCGCAGGAGGAAUAGAGGCUCCAAGUGGCUGCACAAUGCCGGCCGAUGACGCAACUAAUAAUAAUGGCAUGGCUUUGGAGCGCCCCACUCCAGUGACAAACAAUCGGGGUGAAGAAGAAGAAGAUUGCAUAGGAUGCUGCUUCCGGAUCCAAAGGAACAAUCGACAGAUGUCACAAAGAUCCACCUCUGGCUGCAUCAGAAAAUUAUGCUCCUGGCUCCACCAGCGAAUGCAACGGGCUAAUGGGUCGGGGACAGUUCACCCUCGGCAUAUUUUGGUGAAGGAGUACAGCAGCUCAGAAGAUAUUCCAUCUGACCCCUCACUCAUGUUGUACGAGUGGCCUUACAGAAGCGAAUUUAUUGCGGAGAGCGUUGGCAGCAUCACUAACGAAGAUGAAGAAUGUUACAUGGCAGAUAACGAGAAUUCUGACAAGGAAAGCAGAAUUAAGGGUAAUCUAUUUCCUCUUUCACAUCUUUUCAUUUUCCUCUCUUUGUGUCACCCGUAGACUCUUCCUUGUAAGUCUUAACCACCUCCUUGCUCCAUCCUUUUAUGAUAUUUACCAUGAUGGAUUUGGUCUCAGAGACUGUACUUUUCCUCCCAGAAGCGGAAACGCUCCCUGUUCCUGCGUUUAAGAAAAGCAUUUGGGGGGACAGCCUCCGAUGCCGAUGAUGAGCACACCUAGGAAGAGGCAGUGUCGAUGUGGCAGACCGGGGGUGCAAAGGUGAGGAGACAGAUGCGCCUGUUCUCCACAGCAUGCCCAACUUCCUUUUGGUUUUUCAGAAAACAAAAGACCACAGAGGGUAUUAAUCCAUCCAGAGGAUGCCAUGAGACACCUCCAAGCAACACAUCCCAUCCCACUCGCGUAGGGCCAUCAAGUGCAUGACUCACUAACGUUUUUUUUUUUUUUUUUUUUUUUUUUUUGCUUUUCUUGGGCCGGGCGAUCGGCUAUCCCCCACCAGCCUACGCCAGAGCCACAGCAACGCAAGAUCUGAGCCACGUCUGCAACCUACACCACAGCUCACGGCAACGCCAGAUCGUUAAUCCACUCAACCUCAUCUUUCAGUCAGAUUCGUUAACCACUGCGCCACGGCGGGAACUCCCCAGUCUUUUUGAAGACCCACUGGGGUCCGACAUCCUCUGCAGGACCCAUCCCUGCAGUGCCAAUCCCCACCCCCUCAAGUUACCAGGGAGCCUCCCCCCCCAGGGAAUCACCAGGUGAUGUGAGGCAAUGGAGGAGUGGCCCUGACCUGCCCAGUCUCAGGACUUCUGGGAAAAGGGUGAAGAAGACCCAGACACCCACUGCUCUGUGAGCAGGGAACUCACCUGUCCCUGCUCUGCAUCCCUAUGGACUCUUCAUGGUCCUGGUAUCAUUUGGGAAGCUGCAGGAUCCCUGCUUGCCUAGGAGGUGCCUGAGCCCUGGGGGUCCCUCAGCCUCUGCAGCCCCCUUGUAAGGUCUCGGUCACCUUAUGGCCCCAUUUCACAACCUGCGCUGGAGCUUCUGUAGAUACUAUAUUAUGUGUGUCCAAGUCACACUAAAGCAGCAUGAGGUGGCACUUCAUUGCAGUGCUCAUUUGGGAUGGGUUGCCAGGCAGGAUUUAUGUUACUUCUGUUCCUUUUGUUUUUUCUCCAAUUUUGUCAUUAAAUAACAUAAACACAGCUUGUUUUAUUACAUUUUUAAAAAGCAGUGUUGUGGAGUUGCCUUGUGGCUCAGUGGGGUAAGGUUUUGGCUUGUCCCUGCUGUCUCUGGUCACAGGUAUGGCAUGGGUUCCAUCCCUGGCUGAGGAAACUCUGCAUUCUGAGGGUAUAGCCAAAAUUUUUUUAUAAAUAAAAAAAUAAAUAAAAAUCA
This 2040-nucleotide long non-coding RNA is filed under the name Sus scrofa (pig). Its description in RNAcentral is "lncRNA (ENSSSCG00070006411.1)". The record is from RNAcentral. Lineage: Eukaryota; Metazoa; Chordata; Mammalia; Artiodactyla; Suidae.